RNAcentral lists this ribosomal RNA (314 nucleotides) under Sclerasterias mollis. Its description in RNAcentral is "partial 12S ribosomal RNA". The record is from RNAcentral. Lineage: Eukaryota; Metazoa; Echinodermata; Asteroidea; Forcipulatida; Asteriidae.
UUUCUAAUUCUUCCUGGAGGAGCUUGCUAUCUAACCGAUAAUCCACGUUACACCUCACCAACUUUUGAAUAUUACAGCUUGUAUACCAUCGUCGUCAGUUUACUUCCUAAGAAACGUAAACAAAACGAAACAAUAAACUUCUUGACGUCAGAUCGAGGUGCAGCUAAUAAGUUGGGGAUUAGUGAGCUACAAUUGUCCUAACAAAAAUUAAACCCUACAAAUGAAUGCCCGACUGACACGUCGGCCUGAAACAGGAUUCAGCAGUAAUGAGUAAAAGAUAGUACUCAUGAAAAUCUACCAGCUCUAGAAUGCGC